This is a small nuclear RNA of Otolemur garnettii (small-eared galago), 108 nucleotides long. The record is from Ensembl. Lineage: Eukaryota; Metazoa; Chordata; Mammalia; Primates; Galagidae.
GUGCUCACUUAGGCAGCACAUAUACUAAAAAUUGGAAUGAGGCAGAGAACAUUAGCAUGGCCCCUGUACAAGGAUGACAUACAAAUUCAUAAAGCAUUCCAUAUUUUU